Capsaspora owczarzaki ATCC 30864 is the source of this 71-nucleotide transfer RNA. It matches the Rfam family "tRNA". Rfam says of the family: Transfer RNA (tRNA) molecules are approximately 80 nucleotides in length. Lineage: Eukaryota; Filasterea; Ministeriida; Capsasporidae. The record is from Rfam.
GUACAGUUAGUUUAAUGGAAGAACAUCAUCUUGUGGCGUUGGGGAUACAGGUUCGAUUCCUGUACUGUACA